This 433-nucleotide ribosomal RNA is filed under the name uncultured bacterium. Its description in RNAcentral is "partial 16S ribosomal RNA". It matches the Rfam family "Bacterial small subunit ribosomal RNA", at positions 29 to 507 of the family's 1533-position model. The record is from RNAcentral.
AACGAACGCUGGCGGCAUGCCUAACACAUGCAAGUCGAACGAGACCUUCGGGCCUAGUGGCGCACGGGUGCGUAACGCGUGGGAACCUGCCCUUAGGUUCGGAAUAACUCCCCGAAAGGGGUCCUAAUACCGGUUAAUGUAUUCGGACCAAAGAUGUAUCGCCUUUGGAUGGGCCCGCGUUGGAUUAGCUAGUUGGUAGGGUAAAAGCGUACCAAGGCGACGUUCCAUAGCUGGUCUGGGAGGAUGAUCAGCCACACUGGGGCUGAGACACGGCCCAGACUCCGACGGGAGGCAGCAGUGGGUAAUAUUGGACGAUGGGCGAAGGCCUGAUCCAGCAAUGCCGCGUGAGUGAUGAAGGCCUUAGGGUUGUAAAGCUCUUUUACCCGGGAUGAUAAUGACGGUACCGGGAGAAUAAGCUCCGGCUAACUCCGUG